This 429-nucleotide ribosomal RNA is filed under the name Gemmatimonadota bacterium. Its description in RNAcentral is "Gemmatimonadetes bacterium partial 16S ribosomal RNA". It matches the Rfam family "Bacterial small subunit ribosomal RNA", at positions 355 to 776 of the family's 1533-position model. Lineage: Bacteria; Pseudomonadati; Gemmatimonadota. The record is from RNAcentral.
UAGGGAAUCUUCGGCAAUGGACGAAAGUCUGACCGAGCAACGCCGCGUGAGUGAAGAAGGUUUUCGGAUCGUAAAACUCUGUUGUUAGAGAAGAACAAGGACGUUAGUAACUGAACGUCCCCUGACGGUAUCUAACCAGAAAGCCACGGCUAACUACGUGCCAGCAGCCGCGGUAAUGCGUAGGUGGCAAGCGUUGUCCGGAUUUAUUGGGCGUAAAGCGAGCGCAGGCGGUUUCUUAAGUCUGAUGUGAAAGCCCCCGGCUCAACCGGGGAGGGUCAUUGGAAACUGGGAGACUUGAGUGCAGAAGAGGAGAGUGGAAUUCCAUGUGUAGCGGUGAAAUGCGUAGAUAUAUGGAGGAACACGAGUGGCGAAGGCGGCUCUCUGGUCUGUAACUGACGCUGAGGAUCGAAAGCGUGGGGAGCAAACAGG